GGGGCUGUAGCUCAAUGGUUGAGUGCUUGCCUAGCAUGCAUGAGGCACUGGGUUCGGUCCUCAGCACCA
RNAcentral lists this transfer RNA (69 nucleotides) under Marmota monax (woodchuck). It matches the Rfam family "tRNA". From Rfam's summary of the family: Transfer RNA (tRNA) molecules are approximately 80 nucleotides in length. Their secondary structure includes four short double-helical elements and three loops (D, anti-codon, and T loops). Lineage: Eukaryota; Metazoa; Chordata; Mammalia; Rodentia; Sciuridae. The record is from Rfam by way of RNAcentral.